This 622-nucleotide ribosomal RNA is filed under the name uncultured Actinomycetes bacterium. Its description in RNAcentral is "bacterial SSU rRNA". It matches the Rfam family "Bacterial small subunit ribosomal RNA", at positions 556 to 1177 of the family's 1533-position model. The record is from RNAcentral. Lineage: Bacteria; Bacillati; Actinomycetota; Actinomycetes.
GGGCGUAAAGAGCUCGUAGGCGGUUAGUCACGUCGGAUGUGAAAACCCGGAGCUUAACUCCGGGCCUGCAUUCGAUACGGGCUGACUAGAGUGUUGUAGGGGAGACUGGAACUCCUGGUGUAGCGGUGAAAUGCGCAGAUAUCAGGAAGAACACCGGUGGCGAAGGCGGGUCUCUGGGCAACUACUGACGCUGAGGAGCGAAAGCGUGGGGAGCAAACAGGAUUAGAUACCCUGGUAGUCCACGCCGUAAACGGUGGGCGCUAGGUGUGGGGAACAUUCCACGUUCUCCGUGCCGCAGCUAACGCAUUAAGCGCCCCGCCUGGGAGUACGGCCGCAAGGCUAAAACUCAAAGAAAUUGACGGGGGCCCGCACAAGCGGCGGAGCAUGCGGAUUAAUUCGAUGCGACGCGAAGAACCUUACCAAGGCUUGACAUAUACUGGACUCCCCUAGAGAUAGGGUUUCCCUUCGGGGCUGGUAUACAGGUGGUGCAUGGUUGUCGUCAGCUCGUGUCGUGAGAUGUUGGGUUAAGUCCCGCAACGAGCGCAACCCUCGUUCUAUGUUGCCAGCACGUGAUGGUGGGGACUCAUAGGAGACUGCCGGGGUCAACUCGGAGGAAGGUAAU